Molecule: long non-coding RNA, 206 nt
Filed under: Nicotiana benthamiana
Lineage: Eukaryota; Viridiplantae; Streptophyta; Magnoliopsida; Solanales; Solanaceae
Description: long non-coding RNA (NBEN_LNC020031)
Source: RNAcentral
AGAUCUUCCUCUGGCCAUGUUUGUCGGUCAUCUUCUUCAGUCAUAGCAAAUAAGGACAAUGGUUCAUAUUUAUCUUCAUCUUUAUCUUGAUUGUCAUCAUUGUCGUCUUCAUAUACGGCCAGGAAUGCUUAAUUCAUGUCUUCCUCUAUAGCCGUUAUUUUAGUGACUUGAUCUUUAAUAAUUAGAGCCAUGAUCACGAUCCUCUU